Paenibacillaceae bacterium GAS479 is the source of this 226-nucleotide non-coding RNA. The record is from Rfam. Lineage: Bacteria; Bacillati; Bacillota; Bacilli; Caryophanales; Paenibacillaceae.
GGAACCCCUGCUUGGAAAGGCAAAAGCCAUGCCACCAAUAGCGAGUCUUGGAGCGACAAUGGUAACAUUCUCGUUUAAGCGUAGACAGUUAGGAUGCAGGCCUGAAAGUGAUUGAGCCUCGAAAAUUAGGAGAACGGGAAGGUCGACGAGCUUUACUACUCGGAAGACAACACUCGCUUAGACGUAUAGGGCAAGUCUGAGGGAGGUUGCUCGGGGUCGAAGAGCC